RNAcentral lists this ribosomal RNA (476 nucleotides) under uncultured organism. RNAcentral describes it as "partial 16S ribosomal RNA". It matches the Rfam family "Bacterial small subunit ribosomal RNA", at positions 330 to 797 of the family's 1533-position model. The record is from RNAcentral.
CGUACACUCCUGCGGGAGGCAGCAGUGGGGAAUAUUGCACAAUGGGCGCAAGCCUGAUGCAGCCAUGCCGCGUGUAUGAAGAAGGCCUUCGGGUUGUAAAGUACUUUCAGCGGGGAGGAAGGCGAUAAGGUUAAUAACCUUGUUGAUUGACGUUACCCGCAGAAGAAGCACCGGCUAACUCCGUGCCAGCAGUCGCGGUAAUACGGAGGGUGCAAGCGUUAAUCGGAAUUACUGGGCGUAAAGCGCACGCAGGCGGUCUGUCAAGUCGGAUGUGAAAUCCCCGGGCUCAACCUGGGAACUGCAUUCGAAACUGGCAGGCUAGAGUCUUGUAGAGGGGGGUAGAAUUCCAGGUGUAGCGGUGAAAUGCGUAGAGAUCUGGAGGAAUACCGGUGGCGAAGGCGGCCCCCUGGACAAAGACUGACGCUCAGGUGCGAAAGCGUGGGGAGCAAACAGGAUUAGAUACCCGUGUAGUCCCA